Camellia sinensis is the source of this 2248-nucleotide non-coding RNA. NCBI's taxonomy places the organism in Eukaryota, Viridiplantae, Streptophyta, Magnoliopsida, Ericales, Theaceae. The record is from RefSeq and is a predicted model, not a curated record.
UUAUAAAUUCAGAUCUGAAGUUAGUAUUGCAGAUCUGAAUUUCAACUAUAUCAAAUCUCACAAUAUUGCAAUCUCUUUUUGUCUCUCGUUCACUUCCAAAAACCCUAGAUUUCAAAGAUCUGAAGAUACAACUCUAUCAAAUCUCAUAGUUUCAGAUUUGCAUGAGAUGCUAGGUGUGGUCUGUUGCUUUUUUCUGAUGUGUGUAGUGAGGCAUGUGUGGUCCGUUGUUUUUUUUAUUUUAUUUUAUUUGAAAUGUUGAUGUCUAUCAUUUAAUCUAUGCUCUGCUUUAUCUUAGUUCGAUAUUAAAGGUCUUAUAUUCUUCAACUGUUUUAUGUAAAUAAAUAUAUCUUUUUUUGAGCAGCUGUCCUUGUUUGUGGGUGGUAUAUUAAAGGGUCAUAUACUGGAUGGAUGUUAUCUCCAAUAGUUGGGUCAUAUAUGGAGCAGAUCAUGAUAUAAUGUGGCUCCAAAAGGACUUUGGCAUACAUAUCUGCAAUUUGUUUUGACACCAGGUUGCUGCAUAUUCAAAUGGCCAUGUGAAAGUGAAUGAGUUCCUAGAUCCACUCGAACUAAAUACUUGAGGUGAUCUUUGUAAUUCUAUACUAUUACAACUCUGCUAAUAUAAUAGUUUAUUACUUUUAUUUUCAUGUCAGCUGGAAAGCCAAGUCUAUAUUAGACCUUGCGGUAUUGGUUUCUGUUAAUUGCAUGCUACUAUAAUGGCACAAACCAAAACAUCGGUUUAGAUGGGGUUAGUCAUAAUUGUAAAUUGUAGAUAUGUAUUUUCUUGACUUAUCAGUUUUCACCAUUUUAACCACUGCUCAAUCUAAUAUAUUAGAGUCCCAAACUAGAAUUUAAUAAAACAUAAUCAGAAGGAAUCGUCAACUAAUGACAAUGUGAAAAUGUCAGAAUAGAUCAUCAAACUUUUCCUGGCACUAUCUAAAGUCUAAACAUGCUGAUGCAACCCCCUACAUACCAUGGGAAUAAAUUAUUACUUGGUCUACAUCUUAAAAUUCAAUCAAUGAAGGAAGGUCUGAUACUCAGUUUGGUUUUGUUUUCAAUUUUCAUAAUCUGAAAACAGAAAGUUUAUUUUGAAUGUUUAGUCUCUUCUAGGUCUUUUCAUAUCUUAAUUCUUUGAGAAAUAAGAGCAAAGGAAAUCAAUUUGUCUUGAAAGUUGGAACCAUUUUAGUUCUAGCAAAUGGGGCUUUGUUUAUCUUACUAAUGUUAGUUGUUGAGCUGCUAUAAUUUUUAUCAAUCCUCAUGGUGAUUCUUUAUUGAUAUGUGAUUGGUUCCCAACUGCCUACGCCAAACUUAGACAAUUACAAAUUUUUACAUUGUAGUUGUCUGUAUAAUUUAUUUAUUUUUUUUUUGACUUUUUAGGAUGCAAAAUUAGUAAUUAAGUUUUUGUAUUCAAAUUUUGCUAAUAUAUACAAUUUGUAUUUUUAGAAUUGAUUGUUGAUGUAACAUUACACACAGAAUCGGCUACAAAACUUACUAUAGAAUCAUGUGUUGCAAAGUUUUUGUGGUUGGUUUUGUGAAUAAUACUUCUCCAACAUUCUUUUUAUUUACGUGAGCGUUUCUUUUUUUUUUCCCUUUUUUUUUUUUUUGAAAAAAGAGAGAUACAUAAUGGUAAGUAUCUUAUGUUUUUACUAAGAGAGUUAUAGAAUGAAGAAGGCUUUUUGUAUGUAUAAUGACAAAAUUUCUUUUCUCUUCAUAUUUAACAGUUGAUGCUGUGAUAGAAUUUACUCUUCUUUCUUCUUUUUUUGGGGUCAUUUUUUUGUUUUGCUACAGAGAUGGGAGAGUAUGGAGAAGUGUACAAGACUCAUAAGUAUUUUAGUCCAUAGUUAAAGUGCAAAAGUAUGGAAAACUUAGAUUAGGGUUAGAAAGAAGGAGAGAAGAACAAGGAGAAGAAGUUUAUUAAACGUAUGUUUUAGGCUUGUAUAAUAAACUUAAACCAUCAGCAAAUAUUUAUAUGAGAUACAAUAUAACCAAAUGACCAUAAUACUCUUACUCCACACAAAAAAAAUAACAUAUGACUACAUAUUCUAACACUCCCUCUUAAGCUGGAGCAUAAAGAUCGAAUAUGUCCAACAUGGCAUAGAGACUAAAAUGAAGAACGAGCAAGGGAUUUGGUGAGUAUAUCACCCAAUUGAUCAUCAAAGUAAACAUUUGGUGUCACAAGUUGCAUAUGCAACGACAAAUCCCAGAUGAAAUGACAAUCGACCUAAAUAUGCUUUGUCACUCAUGAAACACG